Molecule: ribosomal RNA, 440 nt
Filed under: uncultured bacterium
Lineage: Bacteria
Description: partial 16S ribosomal RNA
Rfam family: Bacterial small subunit ribosomal RNA
Source: RNAcentral
CCUACGGGAGACAGCAGUGGGGAAUAUUGCACAAUGGGGGAAACCCUGAUGCAGCAACGCCGCGUGAGUGAAGACGUAUUUAGGUAUGUAAAGCUCCAUCAGUAGGGAAGAGAAUGACGGUACCUGACUCAGAAGCCCCGGCUAACUACGUGCCAGCAGCCGCGGUAAUACGGAGGGUGCAAGCGUUAUACGGAUUUACUGGGUGUAAAGGGAGCGUAGACGGGUGGUCAAGUCUGAAGUGAAAGCCCGGGGCUUAACCCCGGAACGGCAUUUGAAACUGGCCGGCUGGAGUGCAGGAGAGGCAGGCGGAAUUCGUGGUGUAGCGGUGAAAUGCGUAGAUAUCACGAAGAACACCGGUGGCGAAGGCAGCCUGCUGGACAGUAACUGACGUUGAGGCUCGAAAGCGUGGGGAGCAAACAGGAUUAGAUACCCCAGUAGUC